RNAcentral lists this ribosomal RNA (469 nucleotides) under uncultured bacterium. Its description in RNAcentral is "partial 16S ribosomal RNA". It matches the Rfam family "Bacterial small subunit ribosomal RNA", at positions 28 to 507 of the family's 1533-position model. The record is from RNAcentral.
GAUGAACGCUGGCGGCGUGCUUAACACAUGCAAGUCGAACGGUGAACACGGAGCUUGCUCUGUGGGAUCAGUGGCGAACGGGUGAGUAACACGUGAGCAACCUGCCCCUGACUCUGGGAUAAGCGCUGGAAACGGCGUCUAAUACUGGAUAUGUGACGUGACCGCAUGGUCUGCGUUUGGAAAGAUUUUUCGGUUGGGGAUGGGCUCGCGGCCUAUCAGCUUGUUGGUGAGGUAAUGGCUCACCAAGGCGUCGACGGGUAGCCGGCCUGGGAGGGUGACCGGCCACACUGGGACUGAGACACGGCCCAGACUCCUACGGGAGGCAGCAGUGGGGAAUAUUGCACAAUGGGCGCAAGCCUGAUGCAGCAACGCCGCGUGAGGGAUGACGGCCUUCGGGUUGUAAACCUCUUUUAGCAGGGAAGAAGCGAAAGUGACGGUACCUGCAGAAAAAGCGCCGGCUAACUACGUG